GUCAAAGAGCGCGUUGAAGUUCGAGAGCGUGGAGAAGGGCGAGACUCAGGUGGUUUCCGGCACCAAUUACCGGCUGAUCUUGGUCGUCAAGGACGGACCUUCGACCAAGAAAUUUGAAGCUGUCGUUUGGGAGAAGCCGAGGGAGCAUUUCAAGAGUCUCACCUCGUUUAAGCCUUUUAAGCCUAUGGUUGGGGGAUGGAAGCCGAUAGAGGACCUCAAGGAGAAGCACGUGAUGGAGAUCGGGCAGUUCGCGGUGACGGAGUACAACAAACGGUCAAAGAGCACGUUGAAGUUCGAGAGCGUGGAGAAGGGCGAGACUCAGGUGGUUUCCGGCACCAAUUACCGGCUGAUCUUGGUCGUCAAGGACGGACCUUCGACCAAGAAAUUUGAAGCUGUCGUUUGGGAGAAGCCAUGGGAGCAUUUCAAGAGUCUCACCUCGUUUAAGCCUUUUAAGCCUAUGGUUGGGGGAUGGAAGCCGAUAGAGGACCCCAAGGAGAAGCAUGUGAUGGAGAUCGGCCAGUUCGCGGUGACGGAGUACAACAAACGGUCAAAGAGCGCGUAAAAGUUCGAGAGCGUGGAGAAGGGCGAGACUCAGGUGGUUUCCGGCACCAAUUACCGGUUGAUCUUGGUCGUCAAGGACGGACCUUCGACCAAGAAAUUUGAAGCUGUCGUUUGGGAGAAGCCAUGGGAGCAUUUCAAGAGUCUCACCUCGUUUAAGCCUUUUAAGCCUAUGGUUGGGGGAUGGAAGCCGAUAGAGGACCCCAAGGAGAAGCAUGUGAUGGAGAUCGGCCAGUUCGCGGUGACGGAGUACAACAAACGGUCAAAGAGCGCGUUGAAGUUCGAGAGCGUGGAGAAGGGCGAGACUCAGGUGGUUUCCGGCACCAAUUACCGGUUGAUCUUGGUCGUCAAGGACGGACCUUCGACCAAGAAAUUUGAAGCUGUCGUUUUGGAGAAGCCAUGGGAGCAUUUCCAGAGUCUCACCUCGUUUAAGCCUAUGCCUAUGCUUGGGGGAUGGAAGCCGAUAGAGGACCCCAAGGAGAAGCAUGUGAUGGAGAUCGGGCAGUUCGCGGUGACGGAGUACAACAAACGGUCAAAGAGCGCGUUGAAGUUCGAGAGCGUGGAGAAGGGCGAGACUCAGGUGGUUUCCGGCACCAAUUACCGGUUGAUCUUGGUCGUCAAGGACGGACCUUCGACCAAGAAAUUUGAAGCUGUCGUUUUGGAGAAGCCAUGGGAGCAUUUCAAGAGUCUCACCUCGUUUAAGCCUAUGCCUAUGCUUGGGGGAUGGAAGCCGAUAGAGGACCCCAAGGAGAAGCACGUGAUGGAGAUCGGGCAGUUCGCGGUGACGGAGUACAACAAACGGUCAAAGGGCGCGUUGAAGUUCGAGAGUGUGGAGAAGGGUGAGACUCAGGUGGUUUCCGGCACCAAUUACCGGUUGAUCUUGGUCGUCAAGGACGGACCUUCGACCAAGAAGUUUGAAGCUGUCGUUUGGGAGAAGCCAUGGGAGCAUUUCAAGAGUCUCACCUCGUUUAAGCCUAUGGUUAAAUAGGGUGUUUAACAAAUAACAAAUGCAUGUAAUCUCAGUAGACAUCAAUCUUUUAAUACCAUAUUUAAUGGUUAUUCUAUUUUGUUUAAUUAAAUAAAUGAUAGGUAUACUAUUACCUAUCAAUCAUGGCAAUGUCUUAGUCUGUUUUAGUUCAACUUAUAAGAUUUUUUGAGAUGUACAAAAAAUCUUUUUGUUUACUUUUGAGCCAAAUAUUUUCUUGAAAAAGGAAAUAAAUCAAUAAAAAUUAUUGUAUGUGUCAACAUAUUGGUUAUAUUAGUCUAUACACGUCGUCUUUAAUUACCAUAUCUCCUAAAUAUUUUACUUUUUUUGAAACAAACUCAAAAAUUUGUUGUAUAAAAAACACUAUCACUUUCAAUCAUAACGUCCUCCUGGUCCUCCAUUGGGGAUAUUAUAGUGUGUCAUUCUGUAACCCAGAACUAUCAUUUCUUCCACCUCUAAGAUAUCUUGUAAUGUUACUUGCAGCUUCAUAAGCCACAGAAACAUCAUCAAAAUCAACAAAUUGUUUUCUUUUCUUUUUUUUUAGGAAAGUAAUAAGAAAAAUAAAAGCUGCAUUAUUCUGUUUAUGAUCAAUAGAAGAAUUCAAGUGACUGGAGAAAAUUCAGAUUGUUGAAAAUGGGCUCUCAAACGAGAUAAGCCUCAGGUAGUAGACCUCACCAACAUCAGUACCAGACUCAAUCCAUAGAAUCGGUCUCGUCUUAAGCCUAACAGCUCCCUUCUAAUAUAAUCUAGUGAGAACGGUGAGAUGCUUGGUAUAUCAUACACCAAAAAUCAACGAUGCUUGGACUUUCAAGAAAAAGAGAAAAACAAAUGCAUGCACGGGGAAACGUACUAAUUAAAAGCAAAUCAUAUAAUUUACAAAUUAUUAUAGGCUUGUAGCCAUAAGAUCGAGAGAAACUAAAACAUUUCUUGCAUUUUCUGGCCAUAUUUUCUAAAUGAAGGGAUGGUCCAUUGCUGCUCCGCCAUACUGGAUCUCAAGAUGUCAUUAACAAUAGGUCUCAAGAUGUCACUAACAAGGUGUCACUCUGAUACCGACAGGUCUACCACUUAGACAUAACACUUGCCAUAUAAAAUGUUCUCCUAUUUUCGCUAUUUCCUUCGUAUCUUGUGAUUAACGGAACAAUUAGGGAUUUAUGUGCUUCUUAUUAUUAUUAUUAUUAUUAUUAUUUUCCCUAUAUUAAACAAGUAGUCAUUUAUGAAUUUUGAGUGAAAAAUUCACUCGGCUGUGGCAGAUUUUGUGCCUUACAAGUAGUCGAUUUCACGCAUUCAUCAUCACCAUUACUAUGUUCAUUAUUAUUUGCUAUUGUUUUUUACUUUUUCUGCUGUUAUUGAUUAAAUUGGCAUUAAAUUUAUGUCUUGUCCAUUACAAGACUUAACAAUAUAAUCCAGUUGUAAAAUGGACACUACAGAUGAUACAAGUGAGCAAGACCUAGUCAGAGAGCGUAGUACACUUUUUGUAAGUAUAAAUUAAUUGAUAUCUUUCGAGUUGUUAUGUUAGCGACCAUUUUAAAAACACUUCUGUAUUCGAAUUUUGGUUACGUUGAAGUGAAGGGGAUUGAGUUGCCAUUAAAAAUUAAAGUAUUUUGGUCUUUAUAAACAAAGCGCUUUUGUGGAAUAGAUCUAAGAAGAUGCUAAUCUUCUUAAUAAAAUUAAAAAAAAAAAUCUAUUACUCUUGGUGCAACAAAUUUCCUAGUCCCAAAACCUUGUCAUAGAAAAAAAAAAAAAAAAGAAAACAGAAAAAGAGUGAAAAUAUCUUAGGGCAACCAAAUUACUCAAAUUCGUAAAAUAAUAUAAUACUUGAACCUUAAAAAUAAAAGCUCUAUAUAUUACUAUAUAAACAGUGAUAAACACAAUUAAGAAAUUGCUAUCUAAGUCCACUCGAAAUUUUAUCAUACAGUCGUAUAUUUAUCACCUUAUGUACAGUGGCGGACCUGCACGUGGGCUAGACCGGGCUGUAGCCCAGUCUAGUUUAAAAAAAUCAUUUACACCCCUUACGUUUUUAAUAAUUUAGUAAAAUAAUUGAGUUUUCAUUUUAUUUUCAUAUAUGUCCCUAACUCAACUACCCUUACAUUUUCAUCAAUUUAGUAUAACAAUAGAGUUUUCAUUUUAUAUUUAAAUAUGUCCCUAACUCAAUUACCCAUAUGUUUUCAUUAAUUUUAUAUAAUAAUAGAGUUUUUAUUUUAUUUAUAAAUGUGUCCCUAAGUCAAUUAUAUUAUUUUCAAUUGAAAUUAGUGACUUAUUUUAUAAAAUGAUUAAAUUAUAUAUUUAUUGAAUAGAUUGAAAACAUUAGGGUGUUAAAAUUUUAUUACUGCUUUAAUUUAUUUUAAAAAGCUUCUAAUUAAAAAAUAUAUAUGUCAAUGUAAUAUAACAUCAUCACUAGACUUAAAAGUACUUACAGAAAUAACAUAUAGUAACAAUUAUCAAUAUUUUCAUAAAAUUUUAAUGUGAAUUUUCAGAUUUUAUUUAUUAGUUAUAUUAACUAAGAGGACAAGUUAGAAAAUACAAUUUGAGUAUUUUAAGAGCUUUUAAUAGAAGAAUCAUCAACUUCUAGUUCUUUAAAGAGAGAUAGAGCAUCUGACAAAGAAACAACUGCACCCAAAUAUCUUUUUGCUGAAUUUAGUUUAGUUUAUUAUUGAAACUUUUGAUUAAAAAUACUUUUACAAUUUGAAAGGAUGAAUAAAUUUUAAUUAUUUAAUUUAUUAAGUCGGGUAAUUUAGUACUUCACUUCAAGCAUAAAAGUUUUACUUGCAAUUUUUAAUUGAUUGUAAUUACAUGUAUUGAUCUAUUUUAAUUUAAAAUUCUUAAUUGAUUUUUUAAUCCUUAUAUAAUUACAAGUUAUUAUGGGUUGCAAUGUCAAAUUCUAUAAUUAAAAAAUAAUUUCAUAUUUGAGUUGUCUUUUGUUUUCUACUCUUUUUUUAUAAUUAUUUUUGUUUAUAGUACAUAUUUAGAGAGAUAAAGUUCUUGGUAUUCCUCCUUAUUUAAUAUACUUAUUUCUACUUAUAAAUUUUUAUGUUCGCUUCAAAAUACAAAUUUUAAAAUUUAGUCCGGGGUAAUAUUAAAUCCUGGAUCCGCCCCUGCUUAUGUACGUAUACUGUAAUUUGGAUACGUUAUUUAAUUAUAUAUAUAUAUUGUGUAGAUUUACCACAUUAUGUACGUAUAUAAAAUAUAACGUAUAUUGUGUAAACUCUACUAUAAACAAUUAAUAUUUGGUCAUAUUUCUUUUGGCAAAUAACCCCCUGGGAUUUCUUCUUUAUCGCAACAUGAAAUUGAAGAUAUUUAAAAGGUUUUGAAACGUUAUUUUUAUUUUUUUUGAGAAGUUUUGAAACGUUAUUUUAAUUGAAAGGAUUUGCCAUUUUUAAUUUUGGUUGCAAAUAAUAAUUCCUUGGUGGUUACAAUAUUUUUAAAUAUCCCCAUUAAGGCUGUAGGGGCUACAAAUCUUCAUUCUAGAUCUGUAACAUAUGACUAUGAAUUAUAUAUAAAUGAGCUAUUUUUCUUUAUCUUUGGAUAUAUUAUAUACUCUAUUGUUUUCUCCGAAACUCUACGAUAAACAAUUAAUACUUUUCUUUGCAACUUCGACAUUCAAAGACUUGGUUUAUUCUGCAGGUAAAUCGUGCUUAGGAAGAAGAGCGGCAUGAAGAUAUUUGGGUUGUAUUUUGGAGCUGCGAAAUACCGACAAUAUCCGCCCGUGGGGAGGGCUCUUUGACAUUUGGGUUGUAUUUUGGACAUUUGUUCUUCUCCAUAGUACUGGCCGGAUUCUUCAACAAUACCCUAAUACUUCUAAAGUCAAAGACAUGCUUCUCUUUCGUUGAAUAUAUUUGCAUCUCUAGGUGAAAGUUGUAGUGGGUAUUUUCCAUAGAUAUGGCUAUACAUGUAGCAUGACUAGAGUUCAUUUGACGGAAUUAGCCCUUCAAUGGGUUGUCGUUAUAAACCAGAUGGCCAAUAUAAUCAUGCAGCCUAUUUCAGCAAUCUUGUUUAUUAUGAUAUUAAUUUUGUGACUCAAGAAGCUGCAAGUAACAAUAAUACAGGACACCGUACAUAAGCAAGUAAUUAUUUUGGUUGCAAAAUGCAACACUUUCUGGACCAUCUUCUGGUUAUAAUUUCGUUUUUAGAGGACCUGAAGGAAACUGUAGGUGAAUUAGUAAAAUGUAAAUUUUUUUUAUUAUAGACAUUGUAUAAUUGUUUUCAAAUUUGGUAUAGCAAUAAAUAUGAUCUAUGUUUUGGACUGGUAGGUAGGUUUUUAAAAUUCUAUCCCAAAAGUUUAUCUUAAAGUUCUAUCUUAAAUUAUGUGGUCUUCAUUAACUGAUUGGUGUAAUUAAUUUAAUUAAUAAAAAAGGAUCUGAUCCUCUCCUAGACAUUUUUUUUGCCUCCUCCUAAACUUUUAAUGAUCCAUUGACAUGGGCAUUUCAAAAAUGCGCGAAUGUCGCGAGAGCUCAACUCUUUCUUCUAUAGUACUUUUUUCUCUGAAAAGAGUACUAGAAUGAAAGUUUUUUGAAGCCAUUAUGGCUUGCUUUUUGGCCACUCACAAGUUGAGUGUUUCUAUCCCCUCAUUCGGGCUUUAUCUAUUGUCUCUUACAUAACCUUUUCUUUAACCAAUAUUCUUAGUUGCCUUAAAAGUUUCCCGAUAAUAGCUCCAAAAGAUCUCAUUUAUUUCAAGUCUGUCGAGGAAGUGGGUUCUAGCUGCAAAAGUUGCUGCCCGUAGGAAGUUAUGGAUACGGAGGAAUUAAUUAGAAAAUGCCAAGCCAUUGUUUUAAAAGAAGAAGAGGAGGACACAGUAAAGCUGAUGGAAAGAAUGAAGGCUACGGGGGAAAAAAUUGCUGCAAACUGUUUGAUUGGAAAGAUCAUGCUGACCAGAGGAGUAAACAGGGAGGGUUUGAAAACCGCAAUGCAACAGCCAUGGCAGACAGUUAGAGAAGUAAAAGUUGAGAGCAUGGGGGACAAUGUGUUUCUAUUCAAAUUUGCCAAUGAAGUAGAAAGAAGAAGAAUUCUAAAGGGAGGUCCUUGGCACUUUGAUAGGGCUCUCCUGGUACUGGCUGAACCAAGUGGCAUAGGGGACAUAAAAAAACAAUCCUUCACACACACAUCCUUUUGGGUCCAGAUUCACAAUAUCCCAAUAAUGUGCAUGGUAAGAGAGACCAUAAAAAUGCUGGGGGAAAGGAUAGGCAUAGUAGAAGACAUUGAAGCAGAUGAAGCAGGAGAAUGCCUCGGUCAAUUCGCUAGGGUCAGAAUAUCUGUAAAUAUAACACAACCUUUAAAAAAGGUAGUGUAUCUGCAACAAGAGGGGGAAAAGAUACAAAUGCCAGUUCUAUAUGAAAAAUUACCAGACUUCUGUUUCUGUUGUGCCCAUAUUGGUCAUCAAUUUAAAGAGUGCCUCAAUUAUAAAGGACAGCCAAAGGAGGAGCUGCCAUAUAAUGCUUGGAUGAGAGCCCCCUCACAAGCAGAAAGGGUGAAGCUAAACCGAAGCAGGGAGAGAAGAAAUUGGGAACAGUUUCAGAAGAAAACAGGAGAUGAAGAAGUCAAUACACAAAAAUCUUUCCAGUUUCAACACGAUCCAAUAAUUGCAAACGGGUCACUCACAAACAAAACGGGCACCGAAAUGGGAGAUAGAGAUGGACCGAUGAGCAAAAACCGUGAGCCAGCAAUUGGGGAUAACCCAUUAAUGCAGUGUGAUGAGGUGAUGGAAAGCCUGCAACCAAGUGGGAAGAGUAAAAGCGAAGAAACAAAUCAGCAGUAGAGCAUGUCAGCUGACAAAGACGGCUGCACCAGGAACGAAAAUGAAAGGGCGGGAAUUAAAAAGUGGGGGGAAAUUGAAAUUGCGAAGGCAAAAGAAAAAAUCCCAAACAAAGACCAUGCCAAAACAAAUGAGGAGAAAAUGGAUAAUGGGCCGAAAAAUCUACAGCCGAGGCCCAAACCAAGGAAAUGGAAGCUUAGAGCGAGAGUUCAAAAAAUGGAGAAAGGGAGCAGCAGUGAACCAAAAAACUCAAAAAGGCCUAGCACUGAAAUCUCGAGACCCAGCCCCGAAAACAAGAAACAACGAUUGUUAAGUCCUCUCAAACAAUCCAGUGACCAAAAUCAGUUCAGCUCCUCUUCAAUAAAUCACCAGCUGAAGUUAGUUGAUGAAGAACAAGUUGAAGGGGAAGAGGAAGCUGCAAUGGGGGAAAAUAUAUUGGCAGGAGCUGGUAGCCAGCCCCGCUAGCAGCCAUGAGAGUGUUAAGCUGGAACGUUCGAGGUCUGGGGACUCCUCGAACGCGCCUAGCAGUAAAGAAAGUUCUCCACCUGCACCAGCCCCAAAUUUUCUUUUGCUGUGAAACAAAGAUGACGGCUAGGCAGGUUGAUGCGACAUGUGGAAGUUUCAAUUUUGAGAACCGGUUUGUAGUUGAUAGAAAUGGUAUGGGAGGGGGACUGGCUUUAUUUUGGAGCUCGGAUGUUAAUGUCACGAUCAAAUCUUAUAGCUCUCACCAUAUAGAUGCCAUUGUACAGAACCAAAAUGGUAAGAUAUGGAGAUGCACUGGGAUUUACGGCCAUGCUGAGGCAAGUCAGAAACAUCACACUUGGGCAUUGCUGAACAGGUUAGCAGAGCUCUACUCCUAUACUUGGUGUUGCUUAGGAGACUUUAAUGAAAUUCUCUAUUCUCACGAGAAAUUGGGGGGAAAUGACCGAAGCAGUAAUAUGAUGUUAGAGUUUAAAGAGUCUAUCAGAGCCUGUAAUUUGAUGGAUAUGGGUUUUAAGGGGCACAAAUACACAUGGUCCAAUAGGAGAUAUGGGGUUAACUUUAUAGAGGAAAGGCUCGAUAGAGUGCUCUGCAGCAAAGAUUGGGGCAGCACCUUUUAGAAUCUCCCAGCCAUAAGCUUAGUGAACUGGGUUUCGGACCAUUGCCCAAUUAUGUUUGAAGUAAAAGAUUGCUGCAAAAAGCUAAACUACAAGAAAAAUUCCUUCCCCCGUGACCAUUAUGAAGAUAUGUGGAGUUCGUACGAAGCCUGCAGCAACAUCGUGAGGACUGAGUGGGAAAGCUUUGAUGGAAAUAGCUGGGAAAGUCCAGUGCAGAGGUUUCAGAGGGUGGCAAAAAGGUCUUUAGCUCAUCUCAAAAUCUGGGGCAAGGAGGAAUUUGAAGGUAGAAAAAAGAAGCAGAACGAGUUGAUAGAUCGGCUGAAAAUGAAAAAGCAGAAACUUCCACAAGCGAUAGAUGGGGAAGAAAUCAGGAAGCUUGAAGACCAAAUUAGUAACAUGCUGGUCGAUGAAGAAGUCUAUUGGAAGCAGAGAUCGCGUGCAGAUUGGCUAAAAGAAGGGGACAAAAAUACAAAGUUCUUUCACUCCAAAGCAUCCGCUAGGAGAAGGAAGAACAAGAUUUGGGGAGUUGAAGAUGAUCAAGGGAAUUGGGUUGAUGAUCCAGAAGGAAUUGAAGGGGAAUUUUGUGGGUUUUUCCAACAGCUGUUCACUUCCUCUAAACCAAGUCAGCCUCAGAUUUCAGAAGCUCUCAAAGGCUUGCUGCCAAAAUUUUCUCAAGAAAUGAAUACCCACUUAGAGGAGCCUUUCACUCCGGAAGAAAUCACAAGAGCUCUCUCCGAAAUGUGCCCGACUAAAGCCCCGGGACCAGAUGGACUGCCGGCUGCUUUCUUCCAAAAGCAUUGGCAAAUAGUUGGCGAAGGUUUGACAAAAACAUGUCUGCACAUACUAAAUGAGCAAGGUACCCUAGACUCUCUAAAUUAUACUUUUAUUACUCUUAUCCCUAAGGUUGAGAAGCCUAGGAAAGUAAUGGAAUUUAGACCCAUUAGUCUUUGUAAUGUGGUGUAUAGAAUUGUAGCUAAGGCAAUAGCAAAUAGGCUAAAGCCGAUUCUUAACCAUAUUAUCUCACCAAAUCAGAGCGCAUUCAUCCCCAAUAGGCUCAUUACAGACAAUGUUAUUAUUGGUUAUGAAUGCCUCUAUAAGAUUAGACAUAGCAAGGGUCAUAGGAAUGACUUGAUGGCUUUAAAGCUCGACAUAAGCAAAGCUUAUGAUAGAGUUGAAUGGAAUUUUCUGGAACAAACCAUGUCAAAUUUGGGUUUCUCAACCAAAUGGAUAAGCUUGAUCAUGAGCUGCAUUACCACGACUUGUUUCUCAGUUCUUAUUAAUGGGAAUCCAGUGGGCUUGAUAAAGCCGGAAAUGGGACUUAGACAAGGAUGCCCCCUUUCCCCAUAUCUCUUUAUUUUGUGUGCAGAAGCUUUCUCAAACUUGUUGCACCAAGCUGAAAGGGAGCGGAAAAUCAGAGGCCUGAAAUUUGCUCAAGACAUCACAAUAACUCAUUUGCUCUUUGCUGAUGAUAGCUUAGUCUUCAGCAAAGCAUCUAUAGCAGAUUGCAAGUACUUAAAAGGGAUUUUUGAUUGUUAUGCAAAGGCUUCGGGGCAGAUCUUUAACUUCGAAAAAUCCUCUAUGUUCUUCAGCGGCAAGGCUACAAGCGAGCAAAUUUCAGCAAUAAAAAGUAUUUUUCAGCUGAAGGUGGUGCCCAAAUAUGAGAAGUACUUAGGCUUACCUCCCAUGUUAGGCAGGAAUAAGAUGAGUUUUUUUAAGGAGGUUAAGCUCAAAGUGACCAGCAAGAUAUCGAGUUGGCAUCAUAAGCUUUUUUCGGCUGGAGGAAAAGAGAUUCUUAUCAAAGCAGUAGCUCAGGCAGUUCCAGCUUACGCCAUGAGUGUUUUCAAACUUCCCAAAGGCUUAUGUGUAGACAUCCAAAAAGAAAUUGCAAGAUUUUGGUGGGGUACCAAGAAGGACAAGCAUGGAAUUCAUUGGGCACGGUGGGACAGUAUGAGCAAAGCAAAAUGCAGAGGAGGGUUGGGGUUCAGGGACCUCUCUAGUUUCAACCAAGCUUUGGUGGCCAAGCAAGGAUGGAGAUUAGUUCGGUAUCCCAACUCUUUAAUGGCAAGGGUAAUGAAAGCUAGAUAUUACAAGAACUCUACAUUCUGGAAUGCAAAAGUAGGAUCUAAUCCCUCCUUCAUUUGGCGAAGCAUCUUGUGGGGAAGUCAAGUUAUUAAAAAAGGGGUGAGAUGGAGAAUAGGAGAUGGGAAGAAUGUUGUAGUGUACAAAGACAACUGGAUCCCAAGACCAGCCACUUUCCAGCCAAUCUCCCCAAAAACUCUCCCCCCUGAGACUGUAGUGGCUGAUUUAAUCAAUUCGGAAAACAAAUGGCGAGCAGACAAGUUGGAGCAACACUUUAUGAAAGAAGAUAUUGAAGCUAUCCUCAAAAUCCUGCUGCCCAGCGGGAAAGAAGAAGAUGAGGUGUUAUGGCAUUUUGACAAAAAAGGGGAGUAUUCGGUUAAAAGUGGGUAUCAGCUUGCUCUUAAUCAAAACUUUCCCAAUAAGCCAGAAAGCUCAAACAGCAGCUCUAGGCUCUAGAAAAUCCCCUGGAUGCUUGAUUUACCUGAGAAAGUUAAAAUCUUUAUGUGGAGAGCUCUGAAAAAUAUCCUGCCGACGGCUGAAAAUCUUUGGAAGAGAAAGAGCUUGCAAGAACCGAUCUGUCAAAUGUGCAAACUGCAAGUAGAAACGGUAAGCCAUGUUCUGGUAGAGUGCAAAGCAGCAAGGAAGAUUUGGGAUUUAGCUCCAUUACCAGUUCAGCCUUUAAAGGAUCACAACCAAGAUUUUUUCAGUGCUAUCCAAGAGAUGCAGUCCAGGUCUUCAACAGCAGAAGCAAAACUGAUGGUAGUAUACUGUUGGGUGAUAUGGUCAGCAAGAAAUAAAUUCAUUUUCGAAGGAAAGAAAUCUGACUCAAGAAUUUUAGCAGCAAAAGCUGAAUCAGUUUUAAGGGCCUACCAAAGAGUGAGCAAGCCAGGAAAUGUUCAAGGGACUAAGGAUAGAGGAAUUGAUCAGCAGAAAUGGAAGCCCCCCCCCCCCCCCCAAAAAAAUGUUCUGAAACUUAAUGUAGAUGCAGCCGUGAAUAGCAAAAACCAGAAGACAGGUCUGGGAGCAAUUGUCCGAGAUGCAGAGGGAAAGAUUCUAGCUGUAGGUAUCAAGCAAGCUCAGUUCAGGGAGAGAGUCAGCUUAGCAGAGGCAGAAGCUAUUCUUUGGGGGCUACAGGUGGCUAAACAAGUCUCUUCAUCUAGCUUGAUAGCAGAAUCUGACUGUAAAGAAGUGGUAGAGCUUCUAAACAACACUCAGGGCAGUAGAACAUAAAUUCAUUGGAUAUUAUCUGAUGUUCAUAGGGAAAGUAAGGAUUUCCAGCAAGUCCAAUUCUCUUUUUCCCCUAGAACCUGUAAUACUUAUGCCCAUGCCUUAGCAAAGUUUGCUCUAAGGAAUUCUUCCACUGAUGUCUGGAUUGACACAUUUCCAGCUGAAGUGCAGAAUGUAAUGAAUUGUGUUGUUUCCUAAAGAAUGAAAGGUUUAUUUUCUCAUAAAAAAAAAAAAUAUCCAUUGACAUGUGUUGAAAUUAAUAAAUAAAAAAUUAUUUUAUCUUUACCGCUUUAACCCUACCUAAUUUGUGGACCCAUUUUGUCUUCCACGUGAUUGGUAUUAUUACUUUAUUUGUCUUUGUAUGUACUAUUAUUUAUUCUGUGGACCCAUUCAUGCACCCACGUUUCGGACAUGCAAUUUAACCGUAGCCGUUAAUCUUACUUAAUCAUAUGUGCGAUAAAAAUCUGCCGUCGAUCCGUUAUAAGUAAGUACCAACCAUGCGUUAUUAUUCGAUUUGCUACGUUACAAAAUCUUAUUGAUUACGAAACAGAAAACACCUGGGCCUAGGCAAUAUAGUAUUUCUUUUUGGGGGCCCAGCGGGAAAUUGUUAUUCAAUAAUAAUUAAACAAGAACUUGCAAAAGCAACUUAAUUACAAAUAAUAUUUCCUCUAUUCUUAAUCUCAGAAUGAUGAUGAUAAUUGAUCUUGCAGAUCAAUCAUUAAAGUUUAUUUGUUUGACUCUUUAGAAUUUUUGUUGGCCAAUAAAAGGAUGUAUUUUGCUGUUUAAUAAGGUAAGCUCGAAAUAAAUCAAAUCCUAGCCAUACAAAAGUUCAAAUGACAUGAGCCAUAAUCUCUUGCCAAGCUUCAGAAAAAUUAAAUUAAAGUCAAAAUAAACCACUUUGUAAAGUAAAAAUAAACCACUUUGUAAAGUCAAAAUAAAGUCUUCGCCGUCUGCCUCCAGUGACUAACGCCCCAGGCCCUUGAUGAAAUAGAAAUCCGAGCAGUGAAGUCACACUUCUCAUUGAAAACGACUAAUAAAAAUUAAGUUGGAAACUCGAACAGUAGCUAGAUAACCUUACUCUUUUAUAUUUUAAGAAUUUGUUCAGAAAAUAUUACGAUCUCUUCUAACUUAAGUUGAAAUGCCGUUUCUAAUUCUUAUUCUUAUAAAAUGUGUACUUAUCAAUAAAGUUUCUUAUAUAAAAUUUUCAACUAAUAAUGAAUCUUCUUCAUCCAAGAUGCUAAUAUAGUCCUAAAGGUGGUGGUGAUGAAAGAAUGGACAUUAAACCAUUAAACUUCAUCUCGUAGUCUAAAGCGUGGUUGCUGGUCCUCCAUAACACCAAUAAUCUCUCCCUCCGUGACGCGUGACCAGACUAUGAUAUCACUUCUUAUUGUGACUUUUUAGCAAGUCGCCAAUCACUAAAUUGGUCCAGAUUUAACAUGCUUAAUUAUGGAUCUUUCAAAUUAAAGUUUUCAUAUUCCUUUGAAAACUAAAUGGAAAUAAAAUAAAAAAAUGAAUAUUUUGAAAACUAAUUGGAAACCCAUAAGACCAACAGUCUUAUACUAUAAUUUAAAUUUAAUUAUGUUUUAUUGACAAAAAUUAGCUAUUAUCAUUAUGAAAUGCCCAUUUCACUGAACUAUCUUUGAUUAUAAAAUUUAUUUAGCAAUUCCAAGUGAAAUGAUAUUUUGAACGAGGAAAAGACUCAAUUAGACAUUUAGACCGGGCUGCAGUUCUGGCCUCAUUUUGUCCUGAAGCUCAGCCAUGAUCCUGCCAAAGUUUUGGAGCCAUGCUAGCCACAUUUUAUCUUACUAUUAUGCACCACAUUUACUUUUUCGAUCUUGGAGACUGCGACUGGGUCAAACAUAUCCUCAAGCUCCGUUUUAACCUUACGAAAUUUGUGGACCCAUUUUACCUUCACGUGAUCGGUAUUACUACUUUUGUGGACAAGGCUACGUCGCAGUUGCAGACUCAGCUGAGUACCAACAGCUUUUCCUCUCUCCUGCAACGCGUGGAUGCUCCUUGUUUGUCUUCUUAUCUGCAAUUAUUUUCUCUGUGGACCCAUUCAUGCACCCACGUCUCGAAUAUGCAAUUUAACCGUAGCCGUUAAUCAUACCUAACUAUAUGUACGAUAAAAAUUCCGCCGUCGAUCCGCCAUAUGUAAGUACCAAUCAGGCAUUAGUUUUCUAAUAAGACUUUAUUUCAUUUAUUAGCUCAUAUUCAUCCAUGUGUUUAUCAUUCCUAGCUAAUUCGAUUAUUUUCAUUUCCAAGACUAUCUUUAAUAUGUGCAUCAAUUAAUAAAACUGAUUUACCAGAAUUUCCAGCCCCUAGACUUUGCAUCAAUAAUUCACAGGUUGCAAAUUAUUCAAUUUGCAGCUCACAGGCAUGUUUAGAAAAAUGAAACCUAUACAAUAGCAUAUAAAGUGUCUGAUUGCAACAUGUUGUGCAACGCAAAAAAUAAGAUGCAUCAUGUUGUGCAAAUGCAAAUAAAAAUCAGCUACAAUAUAAUGAACAUUAACAAUCUUGCUCAAAGUCAAAAUGAGAUUAUUUGAAUUUUUUCUGAAGAUGUUGGAUUAUAUAAAUAAUCAGUUAAUUAAAAGGUCGUUAUUGGAUUGGUUUCUUAAUUUUAUUUGCACAUAUUAAAGGGCUCAUCUCUAUGUAAGUACUAGUAGCCUGGCUCCCAAAGAUUCCUGAAAUCAUUCCGCAUGAAAGACAUAAAUGCAUCAAACUAAAAUACAAAUGAGCUAAGGAAUGUUAAUGCAUUCAUUAAUUAUUCAAUUUCUUAUCUAAAGACUAAGAUUCUUUUAUUUUUUAUUCUAUCAAUUUAUUAUUACGUAAAACAAUUGCGGGUGAGUAUAUUUAAACUCAUUAGAUCACUCCCUAUAUCCUAAAUCAAUAAAUAAUUUUAUUACAAAAUUACCGAAAAAUCCUUUUAAUUUCUUGAAUACCCAAAAAAGUAAAAUUACCAUUCUAGAUGGAGGAUAAGUCUUUAAAACUGCCUUAAACGCAUCUUAUUUGUUCAUACACACACAAGUUAUUAAACAACCAUGGAUGUUGAACCAAAGUGUCAAACUUAGUUUAUGGUUGUCAAAUUUUCUUCCUAUUGGACAUCUAAAUCGUUUUGCAGUCAGUAACAUAGUCAGAAAAUCAAAUUAGUGGGGUAGAAUGACUGACAUAAAAUAUAAAGAAAAAAAUUUACUGUGUUCUUUAUCUAUUUUUCUAAUAUUUUUAGCAUUCCUCCUUACAUAUGUCUUAAUAGCAUGUUUAAUUUGAAGAAAUAAAAUAAGAAGAGAUGAGAGAUAAGGAGAAUGGGAACAAUAAAUAAGGAAAAAAGAGAUAUACUUAUAUAUUAAAUUAAACAAUGAAAUUGAGAAUGAUCCUAUUUUUUCCCUCAUUUUUUGAUCACUUACUCUAAGAAACCAAAACUUUAAGGAAAGACAGACAAAUCAUAAAGAUUGAAGAGCAGGAAUUUUUGUUCUCCUUUUUAAAUAAAAAAUUUUCAUUUUAAUGGAUUUUUAUUAUUAAAUUAGUCUUUCGCUAUAUCAGAUCAAAUAUAUUAGAUCUUAAAUCUUGUUUUUAAUGAAAUUAAUUACGUUUUGGGCAUUUAAAUUAUGAAAGUGGACAAGAUUUGUGUGUGAUUUUAAAAUAAAUAUGAACUUGAAUUUGAUGCAUUUAAUUAAUCCAAAGAGGCAAAUUUAUAAUUUCAACUUCUAAAUAAAACAUAUCAUUUGAAUUUUAUCAGUGGUUUCUAACAAUAACUGACAGGUCAUUAUAAUAAUUAUAAAUGUAAUAUUUAUUUUUAUAAUUAUACAGUUAUGAUCAAUGCUAUGCUGUAGUGCCGUUCCAAAGGCAACUGCUCCCACUAUUCUCUUAGCGGCUCUGCCACUAAUCGCAUUCUGGCCACAUUUUAUCGUGCUAUUAUGCACCAUAUUUAUUUUUGCAAUCUGCGAGACUGCGACUAGGAUAUGCAUAUGCUCAAGCUCCGGUUUAGUCUUAAUUUGUGGACCCAUUCUACCUCACACGUGAUUGGCAUUACUACUUUGUUUGUCUUCUUAUGUACUAUUAUUUAUUAUGUGGACCCAUUCGUGCACCCACGUUUCGAAUACACAAUUUAACCGCAGCCGCUAAUCUUACCCAAUUUAUGUACGAUAAAAGCUCCGCCGUCGAUCCGUUAUACUUAAGUACCAACCAUGAUCAUGAUUUGAUUAGCUACGUCGCAAAGUCGUAUUGAUUACGAAACACCAACACCUAGGGCCUAGGCAAUAUAGUAUUCUUUUUAGGUGGCCCACGAGGAAAUUGUUGUUGAAUAAUCAUUAAGCAAGAACUUGCAAAAGCAACUUAAUUACAAAUAAUAUUUCCUCUGUUCUUAUUUUCAGUUCAAUUUGGUCCCGAGAAUAAUGAUGAUGAUGAUGAUGUUGACGACAGCAAAAAUAAUAAUUGAUCUUGCAGAUCAAUUAUCAAAGUUUGUUUGUGUGACUCUUGGAAUCUUUGUUGGCCAAUAAAAGGAUGCAUUUUGCUGUUUAAUAAGGCAAGCUCGAAAUAAAUCAAAUCCUAGUCAUACAAAAAUUCAAAUGAUAUGAGCCAUGAUCUCUUGCCAAGCUUCAGACAAGUUAAAUUAUGAACACACAUUUACGCUGUGGACCCAUUCAUGCAUCCCCGUUUCGAUUUUGCAAUUUAACGUAGCCGUUAAUCUUACCUAACCAUCCGUACGAGAAAAACUCCGCCGUCGAUCCGUAUAUGCAUUAUUAUUUUUUUUGGAUUAGGACGAAAUUAUUAUUGAAUAAUAAUUAAAACAAGAAAAUCUGAAUCUUUCUAUGAUUGUAUCAACUUAUUAUGCAUGCCUAUGUUAUUGCCCGGUUGCCUAUGUUAUUGACAUCUACUACGAAGUUAGAAAUUGGUCUUAAUUAAUUAGAUAUGUUUCGAAAUUGGUCUUAAUUAAUUAGAUGCAUUUCUCAUUUGAAUUAUUUGGAGACGUGUAUAAUACAGGUCAAGUUUUCUAAUAAGAGUUUAGUGACUUUAUUUCUUUUAUUGGCUCAUAUUGAUUUAUUUGGUUAUCAUUCCUAGCUAAUUCGAUUAUUUAUCAAUAAUUUUAUUGGACAAAUUCUUUUAUUGGCUAAAAUAAGUUUUUCUUAUUAUUGUUUUUGACGAGAAGGUCUCAAUACAGUUGGAACAAACAAAUUUUUAUCUAUGUCUCGCACUUACAUAAAAUAAAGGAAAAAUUUAUAAUUAUAAAUAAAUUAAGAACCAAUGUCAAUAAUGUAAAAUCAAAUAUUUAAACACUUCUGAGUUUAAGACUUUUUUCUUUCAUAUGUUAGAAAAUAAAAUUUUGAUGGAAUUUUUUUAAAAAAUGAAAUUGGGAAUUAGAAAAUUUCAUUUCCAAGACUAUCUUUCAUUGGCUAUGUCCAAGACGAAACAGAUUAAAAGCAACUUUUGUAAUUUACAAAAUUACUGUAGCAAAUGAGAUGCGAAAGAAAAGACUGCACGUGAUAAUUGCGGUUAGUUUUCCCCUGUUAUCAAUUAUUGCCACCGGAUGGGACCCACGUAAUUCGUCUAAUUGAACUGUACCCGGUUAUUCGCAAUCCACACCGGGCAAACUUGAAUCAUCUAUAUAUAUUACAUCAAAUUGUCAAACCGGAAGCAAGAACUCAAAAAAGCAACUUAACUACUUUCGAACUCUGAUUCCCGUAAGCAGAGAUCUUUCUGAUUUGAAGAACAUGGAAACUACCUGCGCAGGUUUAUAGGCCAACUUUAUUUUAAUAUAUAUCGUUUAUGCUUCUUAUUUUAGUAUAUGCGGUUAUAAAUUAAAUUUUUUAUAUGAAAUUUUCAGGAAAUAACUGGUCAGAGAGUUUCAUCGUUCCUCCGGUGGCCAGUAUUGCUGAUGAUGAUGUCAUGAACGACAAUCUUGAUCUUCUUAAUGUCCCUCAAUAUGGAAGAAAUCCCGACUACAUGGGUUAAGUGCAGCACUGCUUUUUUUUUUUUUUCUGUUUUGUUUAAUUAAAUAAAUGAUAGGUAUACUAUUACCUAUCAAUCAUGGCAAUGUCUUAGUCUGGUUUAAUUCAACUUAUAAGAUUUCUUAAGAUGUACAAGAGAUCUUUUU
Molecule: long non-coding RNA, 17783 nt
Filed under: Citrus x clementina
Lineage: Eukaryota; Viridiplantae; Streptophyta; Magnoliopsida; Sapindales; Rutaceae
Description: Citrus clementina (C. clementina) long non-coding RNA (CCLE_LNC002401)
Source: RNAcentral